UAUGGAUAUUUUAAAUCAGGCAUAGGCACAGAAAUGCCGUUGAGCGGUUUCUACGUCAGACUUAUUCGAGAGGUUCGAUUCUACUCUACUAGCAGCCAUUUAUACGUGAUGUCGGAGGUAUUGAAGAAAGUGAGGAACGAUCUGUUAACAAAUAUUUUGGCAAAAUGGCAACUUUAAAUAACGUAAUGAAAGCUAUAGAAGCUUUGAAAUCCACUCAAGAACCAGAUAGUGUUCUGUCAGAUUCAAAUACAAGGAAAGAUAAAUUAGCAUGUUGCAUGACGAUAGCAGAAGGGAUGUGUUCACCAAGCGGCAAACUAGCAUCCAAAUUUCCUCAGGUUCUUAGUCUUUCAAUUAAAACAUUAUUAAAUUUGUGUAAUGAUGAUGAAUCUGAUGUCAGAAUGGUAGCAGAUGAAACCUUAAAUAAGAUUAUAAGGGCAAUGACUGACAGUAAUAUUGUAAAGGUACAAAUAGAACUUUAUAAUGAAAUAAAAAGAAAUGGACCAGCAAGAACAUUGAGAGCUGCUCUUUGGAGGUUUGGACUUCUUAGCCAUAUGAUUCGUCCUACAAGAGGAAAAGCAUAUGUUUCUAAUUUAAUACCAUGCAUAAUUUGUAUUGCACGUCGUUCCGAAGAAUCUGUAAUUGAAACAUUAUCACAAUCAUUACUAUUGAUUAUGAAAGCAUUAGGGCCAUUUAUGACAGACAAUGAUGUGAAGACACUGUUGAAAGCAUUUCUUGAGAAUGUAUCCUCUGUACAAGCAGCAUUUCGUAGGGCUGCAGCAAAUAUGAUUCUUGCGACAUGUUUGAAUUGUCGUAAGCCACAAUUCUUUUUAAAUUAUGUAUUGAAACAUCUUUUAGGUGUUAUAGUCCCUAUAAGUGAAGAUGAGGGUCGUGUAGCAGCUAUAAUCGGUACAUUUGGAUGCAUAAGAAUAAUUUUACCACACAUAUGUAAACUGUCAGAAGUUGAAGACGAUGAAUCAGUGCAAACAGAUAGCUUGUUACAAGUUUAUGAACUAUGUUUACAUUAUACAAAAUGGCACGUUGAUCAUAAUGUUAUAAACGCUGUUUUAGAAACUUUAACUCAGCUUUUAAAGUCUCCUCCAAAAGCUCUGGUAGCCCAGUUGUUAUCAAAUAAAGGUAUAUCACAUAGCAGGAUAGUAUUAAACGAAGAUGAAUCUGUAUUAUCAUUAAGUCAAAUGAGUACUUCAAGUACUACUAUAGCUUGUGGUGAAAACCCCGAAUUUAAUUUACAUUUGCUUGAUUCUGAUGUCCCUGAAAUAAAUCCAAAGAUAGAAAAAUGGAUAUUGGAUUCCGAGAGUGUACCUCCAAUGGUGCAAAAUUCACAAUCUCAAGAAACAUGUACAAGUAAUAUUGUAGAAAUGAAGGGAAAGGUCUUGGAAAAUUACAGUGGUUUGAAGAUCGGAGUUAUCGACAAUGAGGCCAUUGAAGAAGGUAGCGAUGUAGGAAGCGAAAUAGAAAAAUCGGAUAAAACGUAUUCCAGUUUACAAAAUGAAACGAAGGAAGUGGAUUGCUCAGAAGAAAUUGCAUCAUCUAUUGCUUCUCCUAAAAAACUUUCUCUCGAUUUCUCGUUGCGAGAAAUUGACGUUGGAAAUUUUACAGAUUCUGAUAUACCUCUGAAAUUUUGUUGUCGUUAUUUGGUGUCAUCUUUUCUCUUAACUGGCUAUGUUGGCCGUGUAAUGCCAGAUAAAUAUUUUCGUGUUAGUGUAAAAUCUCUUGCUUUAAAUUGCGUCGCUUAUAUUUUAAAACUUUGUCCAAACUUGUUUUUAAUUCCUGUUGCUAAAGAAUCGAAAUCUAUUGAAAAUGAACAAAUGAUAACAGAUAUCUUAUUGUUUGCAAAUCAUUCAGAUCCUCAAAUUAGGGGUAAUAUAUCAAUUAUUAUUGGUACAUUUUUAAAAUCCGUAUAUACACAGUAUGGCGGAUCUUUCAAAAAUUUUGAAAGAGAAAUCUCAAAUAAGAAAGUAAAUGAAAUUAUAUCGUUAGAAAAUUUAAUCAAACUACUGUUAAAGGGAUUAGAAGAUGAUUCUGCUACUACAUGUCGACAAACGCUAACGGCAUUUAGUUUAUGUCUACCAGAGUUGUUAGAAUCUGUCGACAAUAAACACGGAAUUACCGUAUUAGCUGCAUUACCUCAACUAGUAAAGAACCCAUAUUUUCUCGUAAAAGUUAAAUUAGUAGAACUACUAAGUGAGAUAUCGUACGUUACUAUAGAACAUAUAACUGGUGGAUCAAUGUUCCAAGAACAUUUUAUCGAUGUUAUUAUAACGCUAUUAGGUGACCAAGAUCAGAGAAUUAGACACGCAGCAUCAGAUGCUAUUGUCAAGAGUGUUCCUUUAUUGUAUUUUCAACAGCCACAAGAAGAUGUUAUUACAAGGAAAGCUGUGCAAUAUACGGCACAAUUUUUAAGUGCCGUGAACAAAAGUUCUAUAGAAUUAUCUUCCUGUCAGGAGAAACAAAAGUUAUUUCUAAAUACUUCAAUACAGCCAUUUGUAUCUUUGAAUUCUCACAAUGCAGUGGAUUAUCAUCCGAACAUAGAGUACUCUUUAUCCGUUAUAGUUAACAUGUUAGCGGAGAUACUUGGAGUACAAUCAUCAAAGUAUUUAGUGUACGGUUGUUGCGAAGCUUUAUUCCAUUUGAGUAAUGUAUAUACUACUACAGUGUACUUCAGAGGAUGGGAUUGUAUUUCACCAAAGACGCUGUUAAAAAAAUCUCACAAGAGAAGCGGUAGUCGACUAGAUAUCAGUGAAUCAACUUUUGCAAACGAUAUGAUACCAUCAACCGUUAGCAAUAGUCUGUUAUCCUUAGCGUUACCCUUAUUAUCAUCGUCCCCCAUAAGCUUGGAUUUGUCAACGCAUAAACAUUUGAUUCUCCUGGCUGGGAAUCUCGCGUCCGGUCUAGCUUUCUGCAAUUUCAAACCUAAUGACCCAACCAAAAAUUGGGGUACGUUUAAGGAUAAACAAAUAGAAUUGCUGCUAGUACACAUUACAAGAGUAUUAAACAUAUUUGUUCAUAUAAUUGAGGAUGUGCAGUUGACUCAAACCAGUACAAAAACAACAUUGCCAUCUUUGUCAUCCACUCAAACGUUAUCCCCGAAGAAGAAGAUGACCAUUUCCGAAUCAAAGUCAAAAGAAAAAAGUGAGAAGAUCGGAAGUUUAAAGUUUGGGAAAGAACAAAUGGGGUCGUUCAUGUCGAUACCUCAUUACACAAGAAUGUACGAAAUCCUUAAAGCAGCGCAUUUAAAUUAUUUAGCCACUCUCGAGCCGCAUGCCAGUGAAAUGUAUUUAUCUCUAUUGAACGCAGUCUUGGAUGUUCUCUCGCAGAUCCUUGAAAUUAUAUCCCUCAACGAAGUGGCUCAAAUCGCAGAAGAGAUUUUGUAUUAUCUGCAAAGUACUAUGAUACUCUCGCCAACCGCGACGGUUCAGUGUGUGCAACAGUUGUUAAAGUGUCUGUUCAGUACCAACGUAUAUGCACAAUGGAGCGAGUUAGACGUGCAGAAAAAUGCAGAUAAACUGAUAGUGUUUCGAGAUGACGCUAAAGGAUUUUAUAAUCAUUGCUUCCAAAAUCCUGCGAGACAAAUGGCAGACACGAUCAAGUCUAUGGGUAACAACUGCAGAGGUGAAAAUGAACCAGAGACUGGGUGGGUGGGACUGUUGCGUAGGAAGGGCGACAGAAAAUUUUCUUCAGUUUUUAAAAAUCUAACACGCUUAUCCGAUCAAAAGACUUCCGUAGCCUCCUUUAUUCGUCUGUUCGAGCCAAUGGUCAUCAAAUCCCUGAAGCAAUAUACUGUAACGAGUAGCGUGUCGUUGCAAUGUCAAGUACUGAUGUUGCUCAGUCAACUUGUCCAGUUACGAGUCAAUUACUGCUUACUGGACUCUGACAGAAUAUUCAUCGAAUUUGUGUUGAAACAGUUUGAGUUCAUCGAAGAGGGACACGUGCAACAAACGGAGGAUCUUUUACCGAAGAUCUUCAAUUUCCUGGUGCAUCUUUCGUACGAAAAGAAUCAUUCGAAAGCCAUAAUAGGAGUUCCAAAGAUAAUUCAACUGUGCGACGGCCUAAUGGCAAGUGGACAGCCAGCGCUCACACACUGCAUUCCAGCGUUAGCCCCAGUAGUCGAAGACGUAUUCCUGAUUCGAAACGCCAGCUCGAGUCCAAUAGAGCAGAGGGAGUUAGAAACGACUAGGGAAGUCUUAAUCUCGAUGCUUUUGCGUCUCGUAGAGUAUUAUCAAAUCAUCGAAUUGUUGGCAUUAUGCUUGACGGAGUCUAGAUUUAGCGGUGAUGGUAACGGCGAAGAGAAAUGGCGGAGAUGGUCCAGAUCGACAAUGGACUCCGUUCUGCCUAUGUUAGCAGCCGGAAAAAUUCGAAUAGAGUCGGAGAAAGCUCACGUAGCUUUGGUGAAAUUAUUCGCAGCUAUUUCCCCCACAGUUUUUAGGCCAGUCGAUCCUCUUUUGAAAGUGCUUCUAGUUACACCGGAGUCCCUGGAAGUUUCAACGUUGAAGCUGAAGCGAUGGCUGGGAAUGGUUAACGUGGUUUUGUUAUCGUUAAUCGCGUGCGCGAAAGAGGAGGCAAUGUUGGCCCGACUCUCCGACCUGAGUGUAAAUAUGACUGAAUUAUCGCAAUCGUUUCUCCUCCCAGAAUGCUCUGGGACCAUGGACCCCCUGCACGUGUUAGGCUUUCAAUCCAUCGAAAUUCCGCCCGAAAAGAUACUAGCCAGAUUCAUAUUCAAAGUCAUCAGUUUAAUAAGUUCGAAAGUGUAUGAUCUUCUUGGACUGAUCGAUCACAAACGUAGCGAUCCAUACGUUGGUUUCUCCGAGUCUACAGAGGACGAUCAUUAUUUGGUCCACCAACUGGCAUUCUUCCUUCAACUGUGCAUUCACAUGUUCGAGUCCGGAAGUCAUUGCAAAGUUGCGAACGCGGCUAUACAAAUGAUUCAAGGUCGCAAUGUUCCCGAAACAGAAAAGCUACCAAUUGCCGACUUAAACUACUCGAUGCUGAAUAUCGGACACAGAUGCCCCAUGUUGACUUGUCAGUGGGCGUAUCUAAUGAUUUUAUUGGGAUACAACGAGAUGACCUUCUGGUCAAAAAUAUUGGGCACCCGUCGUCCGGACUAUGCUGUGCAUUGUUCUUCCCUGGACGAAAAGAACUGUUCCACCGAACAGGAAAGUAGUAUUAACAUUCAGAUCAUCAGGAAGGGUGGCAUCAUAUUAUUCUGCGAUUACGUAUGCGAAAAUUUGAGCGACGCCGAGCCUCUAACGUGGUUGUUGGUGAACCACACAGAAGAAACCGUGAACAACGCCAUCGAAUCUCCCGUCAAAGAUCUACUGACAGCUGCUAUUCACAGAAAUUCAGCAGCCAGUGGAUUGUUGGUGCAAGCGAUUGCUACGAAAUGCACGGAUCUAUCUCAGCCCAGUUUCGUCAAACGACUCCUGCAGUGCAUCGAAGGUGCUCAUCACUCGCAAAGUGGAACGGUUCUGUUAACCUUGAUACCAAGAUUGCUGUCUACAAGAUAUCUCGCUCUGUCUAGAAUGGCAGCUAAGAUAGCCAGUAGAAGAGUAGAAAUUCUGCUGACCACUUCCGUUGAAGACGUGACGAAGCAGCUGUCGAAGGAGGAUUUCACGAAGAUCAUGGACAUUUUGCAGUCGACUAAGCUAGCUAAGAAGCAUGGAGGACUGGUCAGCCUGCUGAACAAAUUAGGCGUACAAUAUUACGACCUGUCUCCUUUAGAACUUGAUCAGUGCAGACCAUUUAAUCCAUCCACAGUAAAAAGUAUUCAACUGGACCGCAGUUGGUUUUUGUCUCAGGUAAAGUUGCGGUGUUGCAAUCCGAUUGCCAGCUACAACCCAUCGGAGACGGCGCAGUUGCUGAAAGACCUGGACUUCGAAGACUGUCUCGGUAUUCUCUCUUCCAAAGAAUUCAACAUAGCGAUCUUGAAAGCGUGUAUAAUACUGGGCGUACGAACGAGCGUCGAAAAGUGCCAAAAAUUAGAGUUCGGCGUGACGCAGAAUGAAAAAGACUUCAACUUCGAAACUAGUCCUUUGUAUAGUGCUGCGAAGCAACGUUUAUUAGAACACGUUCGCUACGUCACCGAAUUAAUGCCAAAACCUCACCACGUUUACGAUCCUGCACAAUCCAGUGGUAGUUCGAAGGGGUUGAAGUACGCCAUUCGACUCGACGAGCUGCUAAACGAGUCCAUCUACUGGGACAUACUGUACGUGUUGAUCCCAGCUGUAAGAGUGUACGUGAGAACCCUGCCAAAACUGGCAAAAUACAAUUUGGCGAAGAUAGACAGAAAGUCUGAAGAGGACCUCGCGAAAUUUGCGGUUCUAUGUUUAGAGUUGACGCACUGGACACUGUACUGUGACGAGAAAAAUACGAGGAAGCUUAGACCUAAGGAUAUGGAGAUCGCGUUGAGUUGUGCCUCGGAGAUCAUGAAGCAUCCUGGUCCGGAUAAAAUCUUCUGGGACAACAGCAAGUAUUCGUGGGUUUGUAGCGCUGCCGCUUCGUUGACGAGGACGGUGGAGCAUCUGUUAACGACGAUCGACACUUUGUCGGUUAUAGACACGCGUGCUUUAGAGCCGGCACUCGAAGACGAGAGUACCAAAGACUUUGCCCGUGCCUGCUCCCGAAUGGCAGCUCUGGUUGCGUGGUUAGAGCACUGCCAGAGCGAAGGGUCAUCAAAGAACAUUCCUCGCUACUUGUUCGACACGAUACAGGAUCUAAUUGUAAGCAUAAGUCGUCAGCCACUGAUCAAUUCUUACGUCUUAACGCCACCGCUGGUUUGGAAGCACAAUUGGAACGUGGUAGGUUCUGGUACAACGAAGUGUUGCUUCCCGUUGUUGCCCUCCGAGUCGAAUCUCUUGCAGGAAGUGGAGAUCCUCGAGCAGUUCAUUUUCAGGAUAAAUCUGCUGGGCUGGAUAUCCCGCUUGCAGUUCGAGGAAAUAUGGAUGGCGCUGUUAGGGGUGCUGAACCUCUUGCAAAACGAAAGUCUGCAAUCGGAGGAAAUCCCUGCGUUGAUUCAAGCGAGUAGUUUAGCCGUGCAAGCCAUCACCAGGUUGCUCCUGCAGACCUUGCUCCUUCCUUACCCUGGAAACCCACGGGCCAGCACUUUGAUUCAUCAUUCGAGGGACCCUCAGCUUUCGGUUCACAAAAUUAGCUCGCAGAAGUUGUACGCGAUUCAAGAUCUACUCGCGUGGAAGUACGAAUGCCUGAACGACUCGGAGACUACCGGUGCUCUGAGCAUGGACCACAUCUUCUGCCGAGGAAACGUGGAACGAGUUGCGAACUCGAGUAAAUACGCGUACAGUCAACUGUCCGUUCCUUAUCUCUGGUCGUCGUGCAAUCUGUACGAAGACAAGCUGAACGCCUCUGUUCUUGACUUGAAAAAUAGACGGAACGACGCGUUGAUGUCUGCCUCGCUCGAUCUAGAUUCCUGUCUUCGUUUUUUGCGAUUUCAGAACUGUUCGUCGAGAGAAGUCAGUAUCAGUGGAUGCUGGACACGUGCUUGGAGAUGUCGAGGAUUCAUCCUACGGAAAAUGUGAUCUUACAUCAGUACUUAGUGGUGUCCGUGUGCAAGGCUGCUGCUGUGCUAACGCCUUUGGACUUUGAGACGCUGGACAAAGUUAAACGCUUGGUGGACCUGAACUUGAAGUCAGGUUUCUUGCCAGCGAGAGUAUCUGCUCUUCACGGUUC
Molecule: unclassified non-coding RNA, 7701 nt
Filed under: Megachile rotundata (alfalfa leafcutting bee)
Lineage: Eukaryota; Metazoa; Arthropoda; Insecta; Hymenoptera; Megachilidae
Description: huntingtin, transcript variant X5
Source: RNAcentral